This 329-nucleotide unclassified non-coding RNA is filed under the name air metagenome. RNAcentral describes it as "partial contains small subunit ribosomal RNA, internal transcribed spacer 1, and 5.8S ribosomal RNA". The stretch from base 1 to 46 matches the Rfam family "Eukaryotic small subunit ribosomal RNA", at positions 1786 to 1831 of the family's 1831-position model. The record is from RNAcentral.
AAGUCGUAACAAGGUUUCCGUAGGUGAACCUGCGGAAGGAUCAUUAACGAAAGCUAGAAGCGGUGGGAUGUCGCUGGCGCACUUUGGUGCUGCAUGUGCACGUCCGCUGCCUUUACCUUUUUCUCCACCUGUGCACCUUUGUAGGGGACCUGGAUGCUCAUCAGAGGGGCUUUAACGCCUCUCUGGAUUUGGGAUUGUCGGCCUAGCAGUCAGCUCUCCUUGGUUGUCCAGCGUCCUUCUAUGUUUUUUACACACUACAAAAACUGAAAUAGAAUGUUUGCAUUUGGGGGAUAAUAAUACAACUUUCAGCAACGGAUCUCUUGGCUCUC